AAAAAAAAAAAUAGCCGGCCCAACUCUUUCCAACAUAAGAGGAAACAAAAACUUGUGAGUCAUUUGCAAUUGACUAAUACUAGACUUUGCAGUAGUUUAUCCAAGAAGAGGGUGAUACUGGUUAUUUAUGAUAGGUUGAAAAUAAAAAAUUCAUACAUGAAUGAUGCAAUUAGGGAAAAACAUAUUUAAGGAUUAUUUUGAUUUAAAUCUUAAUUAUAAAAUUUAUAUGUUUCUUGCAAAAUAUUUGUUUGUGAAAUUUAGAGUUUUAAUUUGGCUUUGGAAUAUUUUUAUUUAAUUAUGGAUUUCCUAAUUUGAAAUGUUUUCCUUCCUAUUAAGUGUUGGUUUAAAAUCUUCCUAAUUUGGGAUUCCUAUUCCUAGUAGGUGUAGGAUUAAUUUGUUGAAGUCUCUAUGUACUGGUUUCUCUUUUUAUAAUGGAAUUAUAAGUAUUCAAUUCAAAACACUUGAUGCCCAUUCUGUCUCUCUCUA
RNAcentral lists this unclassified non-coding RNA (486 nucleotides) under Hevea brasiliensis (rubber tree). Lineage: Eukaryota; Viridiplantae; Streptophyta; Magnoliopsida; Malpighiales; Euphorbiaceae. The record is from RNAcentral.